This 466-nucleotide ribosomal RNA is filed under the name uncultured bacterium. Its description in RNAcentral is "bacterial SSU rRNA". It matches the Rfam family "Bacterial small subunit ribosomal RNA", at positions 28 to 487 of the family's 1533-position model. The record is from RNAcentral.
GAUGAACGCUAGCGGCAGGCUUAAUACAUGCAAGUCGAGGGGCAGCAGGUCUGUAGCAAUACAGAUGCUGGCGACCGGCAAACGGGUGCGGAACACGUACAGAACCUUCCUUCGAGCGGGGAAUAGCCCAGAGAAAUUUGGAUUAAUACCCCAUAGUACAUUGAAAGAGGCAUCUCUUUAAUAUUAAAGAUUUAUCACUUGAAGAUGGCUGUGCGGCUGAUUAGGUAGUUGGCGGGGUAACGGCCCACCAAGCCUACGAUCAGUAACUGGUGUGAGAGCACGACCAGUCACACGGGCACUGAGACACGGGCCCGACUCCUACGGGAGCAGCAGUAAGAUAUUGGUCAAUGGACGCAAGUCUGAACCAGCCAUGCCGCGUGGAGGAUGAAGGUCCUCUGGAUUGUAAACUUCUUUUAUAUGGGAACCAAAAGGAUCUUUCUAGAUCACCUGACGGUACCAUAUGAAU